RNAcentral lists this ribosomal RNA (438 nucleotides) under uncultured bacterium. RNAcentral describes it as "bacterial SSU rRNA". It matches the Rfam family "Bacterial small subunit ribosomal RNA", at positions 338 to 793 of the family's 1533-position model. The record is from RNAcentral.
CCUACGGGAGGCAGCAGUGGGGAAUAUUGCACAAUGGGGGAAACCCUGAUGCAGCGACGCCGCGUGAGUGAAGAAGUAUUUCGGUAUGUAAAGCUCUAUCAGCAGGGAAGAAAAUGACGGUACCUGACUAAGAAGCCCCGGCUAACUACGUGCCAGCAGCCGCGGUAAUACGUAGGGGGCAAGCGUUAUCCGGAUUUACUGGGUGUAAAGGGAGCGUAGACGGCCAGACAAGUCAGAAGUGAAAGCCCAGGGCUCAACCCUGGGACUGCUUUUGAAACUGCCGGGCUGGAGUGCAGGAGAGGUAAGCGGAAUUCCUAGUGUAGCGGUGAAAUGCGUAGAUAUUAGGAGGAACACCAGUGGCGAAGGCGGCUUACUGGACUGUAACUGACGUUGAGGCUCGAAAGCGUGGGGAGCAAACAGGAUUAGAUACCCCGGUAG